RNAcentral lists this transfer RNA (57 nucleotides) under Bos taurus (domestic cattle). It matches the Rfam family "tRNA", at positions 8 to 63 of the family's 71-position model. From Rfam's summary of the family: Transfer RNA (tRNA) molecules are approximately 80 nucleotides in length. The record is from Rfam by way of RNAcentral. Lineage: Eukaryota; Metazoa; Chordata; Mammalia; Artiodactyla; Bovidae. RNAcentral also lists the same sequence under 1 other name.
UAGUUCAGAUGGUAAAGUAUCUGCCUGCAAUGCAGGAGUACAAGGUUCAAUUCCUUG